This 29-nucleotide non-coding RNA is filed under the name Rattus norvegicus (Norway rat). The record is from RNAcentral. Lineage: Eukaryota; Metazoa; Chordata; Mammalia; Rodentia; Muridae.
UCAGUAACUAGAAGCUUAGCUCUUAACUG